This 2356-nucleotide ribosomal RNA is filed under the name Arthrobacter sp. 161MFSha2.1. Its description in RNAcentral is "bacterial LSU rRNA". It matches the Rfam family "Bacterial large subunit ribosomal RNA", at positions 3 to 2147 of the family's 2925-position model. Lineage: Bacteria; Bacillati; Actinomycetota; Actinomycetes; Micrococcales; Micrococcaceae. The record is from RNAcentral.
UCAAGUUUUUAAGGGCACACGGUGGAUGCCUUGGCAUUAGGAGCCGAAGAAGGACGUAGGAAUCUGCGAUAAGCCUGGGGGAGUUGAUAACCGAGCGUUGAUCCCAGGAUGUCCGAAUGGGGAAACCCCGCACAACGCUGUCAUGGUGAUUGUGUGACCCGCAUCUGAACACAUAGGGUGCGUGGGGGGAACGCGGGGAAGUGAAACAUCUCAGUACCCGCAGGAAGAGAAAACAAGAGUGAUUCCGUUAGUAGUGGCGAGCGAACGCGGAUCAGGCUAAACCGUUUCCAUGUGUGAUAGCCGGCGGGCGUUGCAUGGGCGGGGUUGUGGGACUUUCCGUUCUGGUUCUGCCGGGCCAGUGAGGUGAGAGUGCGUGCAUAGGUGAACGGUCUUGAAAGGCCGGCCAGAGAGGGUGUGAGCCCCGUAACCGUAAUGUUGUGUGCCGCCUGGAGAGUAUCCCAAGUAGCACGGGGCCCGAGAAAUCCCGUGCGAAUCUGUCAGGACCACCUGAUAAGCCUAAAUACUUCCUAAUGACCGAUAGCGGACCAGUACCGUGAGGGAAAGGUGAAAAGUACCCCGGGAGGGGAGUGAAACAGUACCUGAAACCGUGUGCUUACAAUCCGUCGGAGCAGUCUUGUUACUGUGACGGCGUGCCUUUUGAAGAAUGAGCCUGCGAGUUAGUGUUACGUCGCGAGGUUAACCCGUGUGGGGUAGCCGUAGCGAAAGCGAGUCUGAAUAGGGCGAGUGUAGUGGCGUGAUCUAGACCCGAAGCGGAGUGAUCUACCCAUGGCCAGGUUGAAGCGACGGUAAGACGUCGUGGAGGACCGAACCCACUUCAGUUGAAAAUGGAGGGGAUGAGCUGUGGGUAGGGGUGAAAGGCCAAUCAAACUCCGUGAUAGCUGGUUCUCCCCGAAAUGCAUUUAGGUGCAGCGUUGCGUGUUUCUUGCCGGAGGUAGAGCUACUGGAUGGCCGAUGGGCCCUACAAGGUUACUGACGUCAGCCAAACUCCGAAUGCCGGUAAGUCAGAGCGCAGCAGUGAGACUGUGGGGGAUAAGCUUCAUAGUCGAGAGGGAAACAGCCCAGACCACCAACUAAGGCCCCUAAGCGUGUGCUAAGUGGGAAAGGAUGUGGAGUUGCGAAGACAACCAGGAGGUUGGCUUAGAAGCAGCCAUCCUUGAAAGAGUGCGUAAUAGCUCACUGGUCAAGUGAUUCCGCGCCGACAAUGUAGCGGGGCUCAAGUACACCGCCGAAGUUGUGGAUUUCACACAGUACCCUAGCCUUCGUGGUUCAGGGGUGUGGAGUGGUAGGGGAGCGUCGUGUGGGCAGUGAAGUCGCGGUGGAAACCAGCGGUGGAGCCUACACGAGUGAGAAUGCAGGCAUGAGUAGCGAAAGACGGGUGAGAAACCCGUCCGCCGAAUGAUCAAGGGUUCCAGGGUCAAGCUAAUCUGCCCUGGGUAAGUCGGGACCUAAGGCGAGGCCGACAGGCGUAGUCGAUGGACAACGGGUUGAUAUUCCCGUACCGGCGAAAAACCGCCCAUGCCAAGCGGGGGAUACUAACCGCCCGGAGCCUGCCCGCUCACCCUUGUGGUGUUGUGGGUUUUGGCCGAGCGCGGGACCUGAUCCCGGGAGGUAAGCGUAUUAACAGGUGUGACGCAGGAAGGUAGCCGGGCCGGGCGAUGGUUGCCCCGGUCUAAGGAUGUAGGGUCAGGGAUAGGCAAAUCCGUUCCUGUGUGCUUCGAGCACGUUCCUGAGAUCUGAUGGGACUCCCGUAAGGGGGGAUCCGGUGAUCCUAUGCUGCCAAGAAAAGCAUCGACGCGAGGUUUUAGCCGCCCGUACCCCAAACCGACACAGGUGAUCAGGUAGAGAAUACCAAGGCGAUCGAGAGAAUUAUGGUUAAGGAACUCGGCAAAAUGCCCCCGUAACUUCGGGAGAAGGGGGGCCUGCCCCGUGAUGGAGACUUGCUCUCCGUGAGCGGGUGUGGGCCGCAGAGACCAGGGGGAAGCGACUGUUUACUAAAAACACAGGUCCGUGCGAAGUCGCAAGACGAUGUAUACGGACUGACUCCUGCCCGGUGCUGGAAGGUUAAGAGGACCGGUUAGCCACUUGUGGCGAAGCUGAGAAUUUAAGCCCCAGUAAACGGCGGUGGUAACUAUAACCAUCCUAAGGUAGCGAAAUUCCUUGUCGGGUAAGUUCCGACCUGCACGAAUGGAGUAACGACUUCCCCGCUGUCUCAACCAUAAACUCGGCGAAAUUGCAGUACGAGUAAAGAUGCUCGUUACGCGCAGCAGGACGGAAAGACCCCGAGACCUUUACUAUAGUUUGGUAUUGGUGUUCGGAGUGGCUUGUGUAGGAUAGG